AGGUAAUGCCCACCAAACUAUACAGGUACGGCUUUGAGAGGAUAGCCCGGAGAUGGGUACUGAGACACGGACCCAGGCCUUAUGGGGCGCAGCAGGCGAGAAUACUUUGCAAUGUGCGAAAGCACGACAAGGUUAAUCCGAGUGGUUUCUGCUAAAGGAACCUUUUGUCAGUCCUAGAAACACUGAUGAAUAAGGGGUGGGCAAGUUCUGGUGUCAGCCGCCGCGGUAAAACCAGCACCUCAAGUGGUCAGGAUGAUUAUUGGGCCUAAAGCAUCCGUAGCCGGCUCUGUAAGUUUUCGGUUAAAUCUGUACGCUCAACGUACAGGCUGCCGGGAAUACUGCAAAGCUAGGGAGUGGGAGAGGUAGACGGUACUCGGUAGGAAGGGGUAAAAUCCUUUGAUCUAUUGAUGACCACCUGUGGCGAAGGCGGUCUACCAGAACACGUCCGACGGUGAGGGAUGAAAGCUGGGGGAGCAAACCGGAUUAGAUACCCGGGUAGUCCCAGCUGUAAACCAUGCAAACUCAGUGAUGCAUUGGCUUGUGGCCAAUGCAGUGCUGCAGGGAAGCCGUUAAGUUUGCCGCCUGGGAAGUACGUACGCAAGUAUGAAACUCAAAUGAAUUGACGG
RNAcentral lists this ribosomal RNA (626 nucleotides) under uncultured crenarchaeote. RNAcentral describes it as "bacterial SSU rRNA". It matches the Rfam family "Archaeal small subunit ribosomal RNA", at positions 239 to 871 of the family's 1478-position model. Lineage: Archaea; Thermoproteati; Thermoproteota. The record is from RNAcentral.